GUGGGGAAUCUUGCGCAAUGGGCGAAAGCCUGACGCAGCCAUGCCGCGUGAAUGAUGAAGGUCUUAGGAUUGUAAAAUUCUUUCACCGGGGACGAUAAUGACGGUACCCGGAGAAGAAGCUCCGGCUAACUUCGUGCCAGCAGCCGCGGUAAUACGAAGGGGGCUAGCGUUGCUCGGAAUUACUGGGCGUAAAGGGCGCGUAGGCGGACAGCUUAGUCAGAGGUGAAAGCCCAGGGCUCAACCUUGGAAUUGCCUUUGAUACUGGCUGUCUUGAGUUUGGGAGAGGUGAGUGGAACUCCGAGUGUAGAGGUGAAAUUCGUAGAUAUUCGGAAGAACACCAGUGGCGAAGGCGACUCACUGGCCCAAUACUGACGCUGAGGCGCGAAAGCGUGGGGAGCAAACAGGAUAGAUACCCUAGUAGUCC
Molecule: ribosomal RNA, 424 nt
Filed under: uncultured bacterium
Lineage: Bacteria
Description: partial 16S ribosomal RNA
Rfam family: Bacterial small subunit ribosomal RNA
Source: RNAcentral